UAGGUAACUGUUGAGUGCUUAGCCGUCUA
This 29-nucleotide non-coding RNA is filed under the name Mus musculus (house mouse). The record is from RNAcentral. Lineage: Eukaryota; Metazoa; Chordata; Mammalia; Rodentia; Muridae.